This 559-nucleotide ribosomal RNA is filed under the name Escherichia coli. Its description in RNAcentral is "partial 23S ribosomal RNA". It matches the Rfam family "Bacterial large subunit ribosomal RNA", at positions 1 to 590 of the family's 2925-position model. The record is from RNAcentral. Lineage: Bacteria; Pseudomonadati; Pseudomonadota; Gammaproteobacteria; Enterobacterales; Enterobacteriaceae.
GGGUUGUGAGGUUAAGCGACUAAGCGUACACGGUGGAUGCCCUGGCAGUCAGAGGCGAUGAAGGACGUGCUAAUCUGCGAUAAGCGUCGGUAAGGUGAUAUGAACCGUUAUAACCGGCGAUUUCCGAAUGGGGAAACCCAGUGUGAUUCGUCACACUAUCAUUAACUGAAUCCAUAGGUUAAUGAGGCGAACCGGGGGAACUGAAACAUCUAAGUACCCCGAGGAAAAGAAAUCAACCGAGAUUCCCCCAGUAGCGGCGAGCGAACGGGGAGGAGCCCAGAGCCUGAAUCAGUGUGUGUGUUAGUGGAAGCGUCUGGAAAGGCGCGCGAUACAGGGUGACAGCCCCGUACACAAAAAUGCACAUACUGUGAGCUCGAUGAGUAGGGCGGGACACGUGGUAUCCUGUCUGAAUAUGGGGGGACCAUCCUCCAAGGCUAAAUACUCCUGACUGACCGAUAGUGAACCAGUACCGUGAGGGAAAGGCGAAAAGAACCCCGGCGAGGGGAGUGAAAAAGAACCUGAAACCGUGUACGUACAAGCAGUGGGAGCCUCUUUAUGG